UACGAAGGGGGCUAGCGUUGUCCGGGAUUAUUGGGCGUAAAGGGCGCGUAGGCGGCCUGGCAAGUGGAAGGUGAAAUCCCUCGGCUUAACCGAGGAACUGCCCUCCAAACUGCUUGGCUUGAGUCCGGGAGAGGUGAGUGGAAUUCCCAGUGUAGCGGUGAAAUGCGUAGAUAUUGGGAGGAACACCAGUGGCGAAAGCGGCUCACUGGACCGGAACUGACGCUGAUGCGCGAAAGCGUGGGGAUCAAACAGG
This 253-nucleotide ribosomal RNA is filed under the name uncultured bacterium. RNAcentral describes it as "partial 16S ribosomal RNA". It matches the Rfam family "Bacterial small subunit ribosomal RNA", at positions 524 to 776 of the family's 1533-position model. The record is from RNAcentral.